This is a long non-coding RNA of Brachypodium distachyon (stiff brome), 1991 nucleotides long. RefSeq lists it as uncharacterized. The transcript has 3 exons. Lineage: Eukaryota; Viridiplantae; Streptophyta; Magnoliopsida; Poales; Poaceae. The record is from RefSeq and is a predicted model, not a curated record.
UAGUUUCUAGGCUGGACCAAGAGAUCGAGUCAGGCAAUAUAUUGUAUGUAUAGUAAAAUAAGCUGCUAGCUACUCCUAUAUACGUUGGAGUGUGUGUCUUGUAUAGCAGCAGCAUGGAUAAUAUAUCUUUACUACUGCUUAAUUUGCGUACCUACCUUCGUCCGUCCGUCGUCCCACCCCGCGCGCGCUCGCGAAAAAAACCUGUCCAACGCGCGGACGCGGCCCCGCGAUCAGAAAACCAGCCAAAGAAACCAACAGAUUUUUCGUCCAGUUCAUCUCGAGAGAAUUCCCCCGUCGCAGCGCGGCGCCGCGGCCCUCCCCUAUCUCCUCCUCCGGUGGCGGCGCUCCGUCGGUGCUCCGGCCGACGCGCAACUCCCUCCGACGGCGGAGCUCGGUGAUUUCGGUGAGGAGACGAGGAGGAGGAGGAGCUCUGCUGGUGUGGAGGAAGGCAGGGGCAGAGGAGGAGAACGACGACUGGAUCUCAACCGCGGAACCGGCCGCCCAACCACGGCGGCGGAACCUGCCGCUGCCGCACUCCACCGCGGAAGCAGCAGCAGCCACCCUCCAGUCGGCGAGCUCCAGCCCCAAGAGUUUUCCAUGGCUUCACAUUGCAUAUUUUGCUUCUUUGAAGUGAUUGCUCGGUUAUUCCAUUACAGCUCAGAGGAAGGGCUCUUGGAGAUAUCCAAGGCAAAUGUAGAAUGGUAAAAUACAAGGGGAUGCAAUAUUUCAAGUUCAAUGGCAGCUCUUUGCCUAGGCAGGUAUCAGCUUGCUCUGAGAUCGACCCAUCAGGGGGAGAUCAGAAGUAAAUUCUUGGAGAAACUAAUUGCACAGAAAUAGGUAAUAAAAGAUUAUCUGUGAGUCACCAAAGAAAAAAAAAGUAGGUAUAUAUUCCAUGCCGCUGCACCUACAAAAAAGAACAGCAGAUGUGGUUUGGUCAGUAGCUGAAAGAAACAUUAAGAAAACAUACCUGAAUGUUCAGAAGGAGUACUUUCAGCCUGCAGAAGUGCAGAUGGACAACAGCAUGUGUUAACAUACCUGUUUCUUUACCUAAAAAAAAACAUAAACUGUUUCCUGUCCCUGUUGUAGAUAUGCUCUUCUUUGUUCCAUUGCUAGAUUAUUUUUUGAAAAUAAUUUUAUUGUUUAUGUAGAGCACAGCUAUACAUAUCACCGAGCAAUGUGUAAAAAAUAUGUCAGCAAGGUCUUUAUUAUUUUUUAGAAUCAGUUGUACUAAAACCACGACAAAAAUUUAGGAACGGAGGGAGUACUUACAAAUAUACAUGAACCUUGGCUAGGCUGCUAGAGUAUCACAUGCCACUCAUAAAUCAUGAUUCCACAAGCCAUGUCCAAUUCAGAAUCAUGCAAAAGGCUGUCUGUGUUCAGGAAUAUGCUCAUUUCAGCAGAAAAAAAAUCAACUGGAGACAACUGAAGCAAGAGGAAGAACCAUGCAUAUUCUAUGAAGAAUACUGCCAUUAGUUCACCACAAUGAACAAGUUACAUAUGUGCCCCAUCCUCACCCAGAAAGACACAGAACAUCAGAAUAUUUUUUUCAGUGUGUUUUGGUUGAAAGACAGAUGCUAUAAAGGUUCUUUUCACUUCGUCAAGUAAAAUGUCUAAGGCGUGAUAUUCAACUAUUUGCUGAUGAUGUGUGCAAGCUACUUCAAUGGAUUUUUUUUUUGAGGCUGACAAUAUGCUAGGAUAGAUAGAAAGAUCAUCACAGGCUACAGAAACAAUCAAGGAGCAUAGUCAAGAAAGUAAGUACAAGUCUGGUUGUAGGCAGUGUCCUUGUAAUAUGAGAGACAUUCCUUUCUUUGUAAAUUUACAAUCGUGCAAUUAAAUUGAUAGGUAAAUUUUAAAUGAGUGGCACUUGGAUACAUAAUCUCAGCCACCGGACGAUCAAACGUUCUUCAAUUUGUGGUGUAUGUUUUUAGACCAGACCACAUCUUUGAAUAUUUGUUGUACAAUUUAAAGAGAAAGAAGUUGCUUCAUGCGUA